CCCUACGGGAGGCAGCAGUGGGGAAUAUUGCACAAUGGGGGAAACCCUGAUGCAGCGACGCCGCGUGAAGGACGAAGUAUUUCGGUACGUAAACUUCUAUCAGCAGGGAAGAAAAUGACGGUACCUGACCAAGAAGCCCCGGCUAACUACGUGCCAGCAGCCGCGGUAAUACGUAGGGGGCAAGCGUUAUCCGGAAUUACUGGGUGUAAAGGGAGCGUAGACGGCUGUGCAAGUCUGGAGUGAAAGGCGGGGGCCCAACCCCCGGACUGCUCUGGAAACUGUAUGGCUGGCGUGCAGGAGAGGUA
Molecule: ribosomal RNA, 305 nt
Filed under: uncultured bacterium
Lineage: Bacteria
Description: bacterial SSU rRNA
Rfam family: Bacterial small subunit ribosomal RNA
Source: RNAcentral